RNAcentral lists this ribosomal RNA (389 nucleotides) under Tabellaria flocculosa. RNAcentral describes it as "partial small subunit ribosomal RNA". It matches the Rfam family "Eukaryotic small subunit ribosomal RNA", at positions 30 to 432 of the family's 1831-position model. The record is from RNAcentral. Lineage: Eukaryota; Bacillariophyta; Fragilariophyceae; Tabellariales; Tabellariaceae.
GCUUGUCUCAAAGAUUAAGCCAUGCAUGUCUUAGUGUAAAUAACUCUUAUGAAACUGCGAAUGGCUCAUUAAAUCAGUUAUCAAAUACGUGAUGGUCGCCUACUACAUGGAUAACCGUAGUAAUUCUAGAGCUAAUACAUGCGUCAAUACCCUUCUGGGGUAGUAUUUAUUAGAUUGAAACCAACCGCUUCGGCGUGAUGUGGUGAUUCAUAAUAAAUUUGCGAAUCGCAUGGCUUUACGCCGGCGAUGGAUCAUUCAAGUUUCUGCCCUAUCAGCUUUCGACGGUAGUGUAGUGGACUACCGUGGCAUUUACGGGUGACGGAGAAUUAGGGUUCGAUUCCGGAGAGGGAGCCUGAGAAACGGCUACCACAUCCAAGGAAGGCAGCAGG